Mus musculus (house mouse) is the source of this 6163-nucleotide long non-coding RNA. RefSeq annotates it as predicted gene, 51907. The transcript is spliced from 3 exons. Lineage: Eukaryota; Metazoa; Chordata; Mammalia; Rodentia; Muridae. The record is from RefSeq and is a predicted model, not a curated record.
GAAGAAGAGAUUUAAUUACUUAUAGCAUUCUGGUAGGUAGAAUUCUUAAUCCUCUUUCCUCAAAAGAGGAUAUAUGCCUUAUAGAUACAGCGACCUAAUACACUGAUGCUUUAUACCUUUCAGGCUGAUGGGUCAUGAAAAAGCUAGGAGAGAGACCUCCCUUAGCUAUAAAACAAAUUCUAACCUCUCACUGCUUCCCUCUUCUGUGCAUUCGUGACUUCCACACAGAUCACCACUGCUGUACUUCUAGUACUUCCUAACCCUUGACUCCAGGCUCCAGGCAAUGACCCCUCCCUCAACCGCCAUUUGCUCCUCUGUGACUUGGCAAAUUUUACAGUUGAUUCUCCAGGCUAUAAUGACUUUGCCUUUAUGCAAUCACUUCAUUCCUUCAUUUUCCUUUAAGCUUGGUAAAAGUAACUUCCUUCAUUCCUUCCCUACUCCUUCCUUCCGCUCCUCACUUUGAGAUAGUUUUACUAUGUAAUACAAUUUGGUCUCAUGUUCAUGAUUCUCCUGGCUCAGUCUCUGAAGUACCUGCUUGAUUUUAAAGUCUUUCUUCACAAGAAGCCAAUAGGUCUGUAUCUAUCCUGCCCUGCUGCUACCUAUAAAUCUUCCUGAAAGUCUUAGAUCUCAUGACAGGAGCUACGCUAGACAUCCUGAGUUCCUUACACAGAACAAGGUGAACAACAACUUUGAUUUCACAAGACUUUCAUUGUAGCAGAGGUCCUACAGACAACUAAUAGCAAUCCCGGGAGGUCAGAAAAGGAAGCGGAAUGGCGGAGGAAAUGAACAUGUACUCAGCUGGAUUUGGACUCACUGAGUUGUCUUACAGUACUACCACUAUGCAGCCCUCUGCUCCCAGUCUGUGGACUUCUAGGGAAGAUGACAAAAUCAUCUUGAACCACCACAGCAAGAGCAGUCUCAGACUCUGGCAGCUUCUUCUGGACCCUACUUUAUUGUGCUGUGUUCUUGAACAGCUCUGAUGGAACAAGCCAUCUGUGAAGGUUAUUUAACUUGGAGCUGGAAGAGGGUGAGGAUGUGGAAAAAAUAAACCAGGCAGCCAAAGGAUGGGGCCAGAGAGAGAAGGCAGGUGGCAUGUUCAUGGGACUGUGUGCCAAGGCUGAGUGGGGUGGGACUGCAGAAGGAAUGGUGUGGAAAGGAGGCCAGCAAGAGAAAGGCAGGAACGCCCACAUCAUGGUCUCUUUUCCAAAGUGGGGUUGUGUUGCUGCAAGGGCUGCAGACCCUGGCUUGGUUUCCGCUUCUAGGAAAAUCCUGGGGUGUUGUGCCUGUGAGCAUACCUGCUGUGCCUUCUGAAAAGUCACCUACACAUAGCUCACUUUUGUGCUAGGCUUGAAUGUUAGACUAUAGAGUGACUUUAACAGGUUUGACAGCAAAGACACAGGCAAUGGCAACAGCAAAUGGGGAAAGUGUGGAAAUGUAUCAUGGAAAGGAUAGAAUUACAGAAAACAGGAACUAGAAUUUCAUGAUGAUCUGGGAAGAUACAUGGGUCCUGUUGUAUGGCAGGAUUGUAACAGCUUUUUAAGGAAAGACUGCUAUUAAGGGAACCCCCAAAAGCUGUUAUAAUUCUAAAUGAAAUAUUUUCUCACAUAAGAACACAUAUUGAGAAAGACCUGUAUUUUUAAACCUAAACAUCUCCACCUAUUUUCUCAUUUAAUCCUUAAUGAAAUUUUAUAGAUUAACCACUGUCACCUUCAUCUUUACUUUGGGGUAGGGUUUUCUUAUGUAGCCAGGCUGGCCUGGAACUUAACUUACUCAAGGAUGGUCUUGAGUAAACAAACAAACAAACAAACAUCAGUUGUUUAAUUGGGUUUUUGGCAAGAAACUCAGAACACCAAACUUGUGAGGAGUUGAGGAACACUUUGACCUUGGGCAGAAUUUUCAAGUGCACAGCUUUCUCAGCAGCCUUGCAGUGCUAUCAUCUUGCAUUUCACUCUGUCCAUGUCAAAGACCCCAGCUCCCUAGCCUCUGGGCUCCCUCAGUCUUGUCUUUCUGAAGGAAGCACCAGUGAAGGGUCUGGAGAUGGUUUACUUUACAGACCCCAGCUUCUGAUGUUUUCUACACAGAGAAACUCUGCAGAGGGACAGACAAGUAGCAAGCCACUGCUCAGCUAUGUUGGGAAGCUCAUUUGGUGGAGCCCAAUGAGGACACUCAGCAGCUUCCAUGGAGCUCAACCUUGAUCCACUGCUGUUUCUUUAUUCAAUCUGUGCUGUUGGCAGGGUGAGAGCAGGCUUUGCUAUAGCAACCCACAAUGAGUGGUGCAUGUUCAGUUUGAGAAGCACAUGAGAAGGACAUGCGCAUCUCUAACUAAACAUUUUUCAGUGUCGGUUUGGUGCUACAUACUGAUAGGACAGAAAGAGUAAAACUCUAUCAGUCUGUAUAGGGAACUCCUACACAGUCUGAGUUUUUAAAAUCAACAAGACAGAACUAACAGCUGUCGUGUAAGCUGAAGCCACCCUUGCUUCUAACAACACAGUCUAGAUAUUCAAUGUGAGACCUUCUCACGAUCUGGUGGCACUCCAGUUCCAAUCAGGUCAAACCCAAGCUGCUGAGUAAUGUAUAGCUGAAAAAUACACUAUACAUUAUAAAAAUGCACAUUAUAUCUUACCUUAGGUUUCUAGAUCUUUUGUUCCUUAGCCCUGUGGCCAAUUUCUGGUGUCUACUUUAGAGCCAUUGCCAUAUGUGACUCAUUUGAGCUCUCUAUUUAACCUUAUAAAUAUACUUAUAUAAAUGCCAUAUAUUUAUACAUACAUAAUACAUAUACUUAACAGAGUCACAGAGAUUAUCAAAAUCAUUUGUGAAGUACACGUCCUACUGAAUGCUCCAGAUCAUCAGCAGUGAGGCUCUGGAGCACACCCAGAAAAACCUAACAUGUUUAUUGCAACAGAGGAGGACGGGUAAGAUACCCUACUAAAGGCAGCAAAGAAAGCAGAUAGGAGAAAGAUGUGCUCAAAUCCAAAGCCUAGGAGUGGUCAGUUGCAACAAACUCCUCAGCCCGGUAGGGUGUUGAAGGAUCAAAGGCUGGGCACAAAGGAUUGUAUUUACAUAUCAGAAAAGCAUGUAACUAGUGUGUAUGUGCUCCAGCCUGCAUACUGCCUAGAAAGAGCUCCCAUACCGAUUCAACAAACAUCCCAUACCAAUGGAUUUUCAACCAUUUCAAAAGCCAGAAACAGUGCAUUUUUUUUUCCUGUGAAAAUGAAACUUUAACUUUGUGUAAGUCAGGUAUCUGUGCAUCUGAAAGCUGUAGUGCCUGUCUCAAGGACUCCACAGUUUCCACAGCAUAGAAAGUACAGUGGUGGUGGUGCAUGCCUUUAUUCCCAGCACUUAGGAGUCAGAGGAAGGCAGAUCUCUGUGAGCUUGAGGUCAGCGGGUCUACCGAGUUCCAGGACAGCCCAGCUGUCAAAAAACUACACCCCAUCCCAUCCCCACCCCCCAAAAAAGGAAAAAAUAAAGAUAUUUGAAGUGUUUCAGGCUGAUUUCAUAGUCCUAGGGUCUGCCACACGAGACCCUCUUUAGACUACACUCCCCAAACACUCUAAAGCACUUCACUGAGUACAUUUAUUGAAUAUGUGUUACACACCUGGUGUGGUAUGACAGUUGCUAUUUUAGGCACCAGGACCCCACCAGUGGACAAAACAAUGUUCUUCUUUCAUAGACUAAGAAUCAAGUGUAGAGAGAGGUGGGACUUACUAUAAGAAAGACAACACCGUGAGAAUGUGCUAGCAUCAAUGUAAGAUGGGCACGGAGAGGUUCUGAGAUGAGAUGCUAUUGAUCAGAAUUGCACAAGUGAGCCACAGAGCAGAAAGGACCUCUGAGUGUCCUCUCUAAGCAGGUCACUGGAGUAUCAGGAAGUCACACUGGUAGGUGCAUACAUGAAAGAAGGAAACGGUCUUUUCCAGCCCAGCUCCGUAAGAAGAGUCUAUGCAGCUCACACACCCACCACGCAGCUUCUGGAAGGCUUCCAUCACAGAGGAGAAGUCUAUGUUGAAUUUUAAGUUUGACCACAACUAUUUAAACUUCCCUAGACCACAAAUACAGCAUCUUUUGUGGUUUUGCUGGCACCAAGUAUAUAUUUACAAAUCUCUAUAUGUCUGCCUUCUAUUUAAUCUCUUACACAAGUGGCGAUGUCGUUAGCUGGACUUCACCUCUCUGCACCGGUCUAGAGAGCCCCAAUCAGGUUGGUCCUUGGGGGAAGAGGAUGUCUUUACAAGUAACAUUCAGGGCAUUCUUAGUUAAAUUUUUAUUACUGCAUUUCUUUUUAAACGUUAGUAAAGAGUCCAUUCCAAGUCUAUGUUUUGUAUUAUAAUGCAAGAAUAAAAGUUAUUUAAACUUUUUCCCACUAGAGUUGAGAAUAAAACUUAAAGAACUUUUCUAAUUAAAAAAAAAAAAAGGACAGGAUCUUAAUUUGUAACCUAGGCUGGCCUUGAAGUUGACACUUCCUGCUUUGGUCUCCUGAGUGUUAGGACUACAAAUAGGAGCAUUAUGCCUUGUUAAGUAAACAAAUCCUUACUUACACCAAAAAGCAACAAACAGGAAACAAUAAGCAGGAAAUAUAAGGCAUAAUGAGCCUCAAACUUCUAAACUCCGCUUUAUUCUCAUACUAGUUCCUGACAAUUAUGACCCACAUGAAAACUGAAAGAACAUAGGAAACAGCCCCUGCUUUCCUGCUCAGCCUUUGACAAGCUGUCUUUGGCACUAUAAGACCAUAAAAUUCUCAAAUUGUUCCUUGAGUUAUUAUUCCUAAUUCCAGGGUCAGUUAUAUAGCUGCCAAAAGGGGCAUGUGGCAUUUUUAUCAAAUGAAGGCAGCAGGUAGGUCAUCUUAAAUGGAGUGGAAAGCAAUGGCCCCUUACUUCACUUUAGGCAUCUGUCUCUGUCCAGUUCUUCCUUUGUCUUCCUGAGCCUUUGAGCUUUUGUCCUCACUCAUAGCCUGUGUGCCUCUGUGUGUGUGUGUGUGUGUGUGUGUGUGUGUGUGUGUGUAUACCAAGUAACAACAUUUAUAUCCAACAUAGAAAGACUUAAGGGAGACAUCUUCAUGAAUCAUUGGGUUUUUCCCUCCUGAGUUUUUGUUUGUUUGUUUUUUGAGACAGGGUUUCUCUGUGUGGCCCUGGCUGUCCUGGAACUCACUUUGUAAACCAGGCUGGGCUUAAACUCAGAGAUCCACCUGCCUCUGCCUCCUGAGUGCUGGGAUUAAAGGUGUACUCUACUAUGCCUGGCUCAUUUCCUUUCCUGAGUUUUAAGGGAGCAUAGCAGAUAUACUUGUUAUAAAGUAACAAGCCUAUACAUAUAAAUCCAUAUUAGGCAACUAUGGGGAUGGCUCAGGGAAUAGCACUUACUAUGUAAGACUGAGGGCCAGAGUUCAAAUUCCCAGCACUCAUGGACAUGCUACAGAUUCAUGUAAUUCAAGGACUCUGGACGGGAGGGUUAGGAGGGUUGCUGGAGCUUGUUGGCAAAGUGUUUUUAGGCCAUACAAAUACAUUCUAAGUGAAAUACCCAUCUUAAUAAAAUGAGCAGCCACCAUAAGAUAUUUAAACUGGAAACCUAGGAAUUAAUUUUUCUGCUUCUGACUUGGAAGAAGCUAAGGCACAACCUUUGGCCACCCAGAGUCACCGGAUACUUUUGCCAUGCUUACCAAACUUGACUUCAAGUUUUUAAUGUGAGGUGGCAGAUAGUAAGUCAGUCCUACACCUCUUACUGGUCUGCCCCAAGAUGGAUCGUCAAGACAACCAGAGACAAGAUAGGUCUGCAGAAGACUGUGGAACCAUUCAGAACAGACAGGCUCAGACUGAGGUAGCACCUUCUGCCUUUUUCCUGAUUACUGGGGCUCACAAGGUACCACUAGGAGAGGAGGAAAACAAGAGGAAAAAUGUUAAAUACUAAAAAGCAGAGUCGUCUGUCUGUUUUUGUGAGAAAGGCUCUAGCUAUGCAGCUUUGAAUUCAUGGUGCUCUUGCCUCAGCCUCCUGAGUGCUGAGAUUUAAGCCUUGUAGGAGAUAUCACUUCUGAUCAGAUUGUCAACACUGCUGAACAGAUUCAACACCGAUCCAUAUCCAGAGAACUUUCUGGAAUCAUUGAAGAGAGUAUGGAGCCUGCCUAUUCUAGGGGUGGCAAUUUUGAUGAUAUAUUCCCUGUAUUUAACAAGCUGGUCAUUCC